UAUAUACUCCCUCCGUCCCAAAAUUCUUGCCUUAGAUUAGUCUAGAUACGGAUGUAUCUAAUACUAAAACGUGACUUGAUACAUCCGUAUUUAGACAAAUCUAAGACAAGAAUUUUGGGACGAAGGGAGUACAUC
Non-coding RNA from Triticum aestivum (bread wheat), 135 nucleotides. The record is from Rfam. Lineage: Eukaryota; Viridiplantae; Streptophyta; Magnoliopsida; Poales; Poaceae.